This is a long non-coding RNA of Helianthus annuus (common sunflower), 108 nucleotides long. RefSeq lists it as uncharacterized. Lineage: Eukaryota; Viridiplantae; Streptophyta; Magnoliopsida; Asterales; Asteraceae. The record is from RefSeq and is a predicted model, not a curated record. The transcript has 3 exons.
UUUUGGCUAAGAUCAAGUGUAGUAUCUGUUCUUAUCAGUUUAAUAUCUGAUAUGUGGGUCAUCGACCCACUCGAUAUUAAUCUUAUUUUUUAUGGAUCGGAAGAGGGU